RNAcentral lists this transfer RNA (72 nucleotides) under Stegodyphus mimosarum. It matches the Rfam family "tRNA". From Rfam's summary of the family: Transfer RNA (tRNA) molecules are approximately 80 nucleotides in length. Their secondary structure includes four short double-helical elements and three loops (D, anti-codon, and T loops). The record is from Rfam by way of RNAcentral. Lineage: Eukaryota; Metazoa; Arthropoda; Arachnida; Araneae; Eresidae.
GCCUCCAUGGUGUAGUGGUCAGCACACUCGGCGCGUAAUCGUGAGAUCCGUGGUUCGAGUCCCGGUGAGGCA